Molecule: ribosomal RNA, 486 nt
Filed under: uncultured organism
Description: SSU rRNA
Rfam family: Bacterial small subunit ribosomal RNA
Source: RNAcentral
GUGCCAGCAGCCGCGGUAAUACGUAGGGUGCGAGCGUUGUCCGGAAUUACUGGGCGUAAAGAGCUCGUAGGUGGUUUGUCGCGUUGUUCGUGAAAACUCACAGCUUAACUGUGGGCGUGCGGGCGAUACGGGCAGACUAGAGUACUGCAGGGGAGACUGGAAUUCCUGGUGUAGCGGUGGAAUGCGCAGAUAUCAGGAGGAACACCGGUGGCGAAGGCGGGUCUCUGGGCAGUAACUGACGCUGAGGAGCGAAAGCGUGGGGAGCGUACAGGAUUAGAUACCCUGGUAGUCCACGCCGUAAACGGUGGGUACUAGGUGUGGGUUCCUUCCUUGGGAUCCGUGCCGUAGCUAACGCAUUAAGUACCCCGCCUGGGGAGUACGGCCGCAAGGCUAAAACUCAAAGGAAUUGACGGGGGCCCGCACAAGCGGCGGAGCAUGUGGAUUAAUUCGAUGCAACGCGAAGAACCGUACCAUGGGUGUGACAUG